This 468-nucleotide ribosomal RNA is filed under the name uncultured bacterium. RNAcentral describes it as "partial 16S ribosomal RNA". It matches the Rfam family "Bacterial small subunit ribosomal RNA", at positions 28 to 507 of the family's 1533-position model. The record is from RNAcentral.
GACGAACGCUGGCGGCGUGCUUAACACAUGCAAGUCGAACGGAAAGGCCCUGCUUUUGUGGGGUGCUCGAGUGGCGAACGGGUGAGUAACACGUGAGUAACCUGCCCUUGACUUUGGGAUAACUUCAGGAAACCGGGGCUAAUACCGGAUAGGAGCUCCUGCUGCAUGGUGGGGGUUGGAAAGUUUCGGCGGUUGGGGAUGGACUCGCGGCUUAUCAGCUUGUUGGUGGGGUAGUGGCUUACCAAGGCUUUGACGGGUAGCCGGCCUGAGAGGGUGACCGGCCACAUUGGGACUGAGAUACGGCCCAGACUCCUACGGGAGGCAGCAGUGGGGAAUAUUGCACAAUGGGCGGAAGCCUGAUGCAGCAACGCCGCGUGCGGGAUGACGGCCUUCGGGUUGUAAACCGAUUUCGCCUGUGACGAAGCGUGAGUGACGGUAAUGGGUAAAGAAGCACCGGCUAACUACGUG